Molecule: long non-coding RNA, 220 nt
Organism: Triticum dicoccoides
Lineage: Eukaryota; Viridiplantae; Streptophyta; Magnoliopsida; Poales; Poaceae
Exons: 3
Source: RefSeq, a predicted model, not a curated record
CCUGGGUGCAUCAGUGCCUCAAGUAGCAGCGCAGGUAUUGGAGGCUUCUACAAUAUCAUGUCUUAGAGGAGUUCUGAUUCAUUACCUCAUCUGUUGGGUUGUCGUGCCUAAUUCCAGAAAACAUGGUGUUCAUAAGGAGGUUGCAAAGACAUGCAGGGAUGGAAAGAUGUAAACAGACCUCAAGAUUUAAGCUAUAUAUAUUACCCAAACUUGAUGUUUC